RNAcentral lists this unclassified non-coding RNA (240 nucleotides) under soil metagenome. RNAcentral's name for it is "partial contains 5.8S ribosomal RNA, internal transcribed spacer 2, and large subunit ribosomal RNA". The record is from RNAcentral.
AACCUAGCACACCUGCGGUGUGUACCUGCGGAGGGAUCAUUAACGAAUAUCUAUGGCGUUGGUUGUAGCUGGCUCCUAGGAGCAUUUGUGCACACCCGUCAUUCAUAUCAUCUUUCCACCUGUGAACUAUGUGUAGGCUUGGAUACCUCUCGCUUUGGUGACAAGGCGGAUGCAAGGAUUGCUGCGUCGACAAGGCCAGCUCUCUUUGAAUUACCAGGUCUAUGUCUUUUUACACACUCC